UACGAUCACAGAAGUUAAGCAACGUUGUGCCUGGUCAGUACCUAGAUCGGUAACCGCUUGGGAAUACCAGGUGCUGUAAU
RNAcentral lists this ribosomal RNA (80 nucleotides) under Acanthosepion pharaonis. Lineage: Eukaryota; Metazoa; Mollusca; Cephalopoda; Sepiida; Sepiidae. The record is from RNAcentral.